UACGGGGGGAGCAAGCGUUGUUCGGAUUUACUGGGCGUAAAGGGCGCGUAGGCGGCCCGCGCAAGCGUGCGGUGAAAGCCCGGGGCUCAACCCCGGGUCGGCCGUGCGGACUGCGGGGCUCGAGCACUGUAGGGGCAGAUGGAAUUCCGGGUGUAGCGGUGGAAUGCGUAGAGAUCCGGAAGAACACCGGUGGCGAAGGCGGUCUGCUGGGCAGUAGCUGACGCUGAGGCGCGACAGCGUGGGGAGCAAACAGG
RNAcentral lists this ribosomal RNA (254 nucleotides) under uncultured bacterium. RNAcentral's name for it is "partial 16S ribosomal RNA". It matches the Rfam family "Bacterial small subunit ribosomal RNA", at positions 524 to 776 of the family's 1533-position model. The record is from RNAcentral.